UCCUACGGGAGGCAGCAGUAGGGAAUCUUCCGCAAUGGACGAAAGUCUGACGGAGCAACGCCGCGUGAGUGAUGAAGGCUUUCGGGUCGUAAAACUCUGUUGUUAGGGAAGAACAAGUGCUAGUUGAAUAAGUUGGCACCUUGACGGUACCUAACCAGAAAGCCACGGCUAACUACGUGCCAGCAGCCGCGGUAAUACGUAGGUGGCAAGCGUUAUCCGGAAUUAUUGGGCGUAAAGCGCGCGCAGGUGGUUUCUUAAGUCUGAUGUGAAAGCCCACGGCUCAACCAUGGAGGGUCAUUGGAAACUGGGAGACUUGAGUGCAGAAGAGGAAAGUGGAAUUCCAUGUGUAGCGGUGAAAUGCGUAGAGAUAUGGAGGAACACCAGUGGCGAAGGCGACUUUCUGGUCUGUAACUGACACUGAGGCGCGAAAGCGUGGGGAGCAAACAGGAUUAGAUACCCUGGUAGUCCACGCCGUAAACGAUGAGUGCUAAGUGUUAGAGGGUUUCCGCCCUUUAGUGCUGAAGUUAACGCAUUAAGUACUCCGCCUGGGGAGUACGGCCGCAAGGCUGAAACUCAAAUGAAUUGACGGA
RNAcentral lists this ribosomal RNA (590 nucleotides) under uncultured bacterium. RNAcentral's name for it is "bacterial SSU rRNA". It matches the Rfam family "Bacterial small subunit ribosomal RNA", at positions 337 to 917 of the family's 1533-position model. The record is from RNAcentral.